UACGAAGGGUGCAAACGUUGCUCGGAAUUAUUGGGCGUAAAGCGCACGUAGGCGGCUCUGCAAGUCGGAUGUGAAAUCCCUCGGCUCAACCAAGGAAGUGCAUCCGAAACUGCGGAGCUUGAGUACUUAAGAGGAUCGCGGAAUUCUCGGUGUAGCGGUGAAAUGCGUAGAUAUCGAGAGGAACACCUGCGGCGAAGGCGGGUUGCUGGGCUGACACUGACGCUGAGGCGCGAAAGCCAGGGGAGCGAACGGG
Molecule: ribosomal RNA, 253 nt
Filed under: uncultured bacterium
Lineage: Bacteria
Description: partial 16S ribosomal RNA
Rfam family: Bacterial small subunit ribosomal RNA
Source: RNAcentral